UGCCUAAUACAUGCAAGUCGAGCGAGAAGACCCGGGCAACUGGGUUUGUAAAGCGGCAGACGGGUGCGUAACACGUGGAUAAUUUACCUGAAAGUUGGGGAUAAGCCCUCGAAAGGGGGUCUAAUACCGGAUGUGGAAUUCUGGCGGCAUCGCCGGAAUUCUAAAGCUGGCCUCUACUUGUAAGCUAGCGCUUUCAGAUGAAUCCGCGCCCGAUUAGCUAGUUGGCGGGAUAACAGCCCACCAAGGCAACGAUCGGUAGCCGACCUAAGAGGGUGUACGGCCACACUGGGACUGAGAUACGGCCCAGACUCCUACGGGAGGCAGCAGUAGGGAAUAUUGGACAAUGGACGAAAGUCUGAUCCAGCAACGCCGCGUGGAGGAUGAAGUCCUUCGGGAUGUAAACUCCUGUCAGAAGGGACGAAACUUCUCCCGAUGAAUAAUCGGGAGAAUUGACGGUACUUUCAGAGGAAGCACCGGCUAACUCCGUGCCAGCAGCCGCGGUAAUACGGGGGGUGCAAGCGUUGUUCGGAAUUACUGGGUGUAAAGGGCAGGUAGGCGGGCCAAUAAGUCGAAUGUGAAAACCCCGGGCUUAACCCGGGGCUGGCAUCCGAAACUGUUGGUCUUGAGUAUGGGAGAGGAAGAUGGAAUUCCUGGUGUAACGGUGAAAUGUGUAGAUAUCAGGAGGAACACCGGUGGCGAAGGCGGUCUUCUGGCCCACUACUGACGCUGAUCUGCGAAAGCUAGGGUAGCAAACAGGAUUAGAUACCCUGGUAGUCCUAGCCGUAAACGUUGGUCACUAGGUGUUGGAUCCCUGAUAAGGGUUCAGUGCCGCAGCUAACGCAUUAAGUGACCCACCUGGGGACUACGGCCGCAAGGUUGAAACUCAAAGGAAUUGACGGGGGCCCGCACAAGCGGUGGAGUAUGUGGUUCAAUUCGACGCAACGCGAAGGACCUUACCUGGGUUUGACAUCCCGUUGAAAGCCCAAGAGAUUGGGUCCGGUAGCAAUACCCAACGGGACAGGUGCUGCAUGGCUGUCGUCAGCUCGUGCCGUGAGGUGUUGGGUUAAGUCCCGCAACGAGCGCAACCCCUGUUUCUAGUUGCCACCUGGCCGCAAGGCUGGAGCACUCUAGAAAGACCGCCAGUGAUAAGCUGGAGGAAGGUGGGGAUGACGUCAAGUCCUCAUGGCCCUUAUGUCCAGGGCUACACACGUACUACAAUGGCCGGUACAGAAGGAUGCCAAACCGCGAGGUGGAGCAAAUCCCCAAAGCCGGCCUCAGUUCAGAUUGCAGUCUGCAAUUCGACUGCAUGAAGGCGGAAUCGCUAGUAAUCGCGGAUCAGCAGGUCGCGGUGAAUACGUUCCCGGGCCUUGCACACACCGCCCGUCAC
RNAcentral lists this ribosomal RNA (1387 nucleotides) under uncultured bacterium. RNAcentral's name for it is "bacterial SSU rRNA". It matches the Rfam family "Bacterial small subunit ribosomal RNA", at positions 45 to 1400 of the family's 1533-position model. The record is from RNAcentral.